UUCCUACGGGAGGCAGCAGUGGGGAAUAUUGGGCAAUGGGCGCAAGCCUGACCCAGCAACGCCGCGUGAGGGAAGAAGGUCUUCGGAUUGUAAACCUCUGUCCUUGGUGACGAAACAAAUGACGGUAGCCAAGGAGGAAGCCCCGGCUAACUACGUGCCAGCAGCCGCGGUAAUACGUAGGGGGCGAGCGUUGUCCGGAAUUACUGGGCGUAAAGGGUGCGUAGGUGGCCUUUUAAGUUGGAUGUGAAAUACCCGGGCUUAACUUGGGGGGUGCAUCUAAUACUGGGAGGCUAGAGUGCAGGAGAGGGAAGCGGAAUUCCUAGUGUAGCGGUGAAAUGCGUAGAUAUUAGGAGGAACACCAGUGGCGAAGGCGGCUUUCUGGACUGUAACUGACACUGAGGCACGAAAGCGUGGGGAGCAAACAGGAUUAGAUACCCUGGUAGUC
Molecule: ribosomal RNA, 445 nt
Filed under: uncultured Christensenellaceae bacterium
Lineage: Bacteria; Bacillati; Bacillota; Clostridia; Christensenellales; Christensenellaceae
Description: bacterial SSU rRNA
Rfam family: Bacterial small subunit ribosomal RNA
Source: RNAcentral